Long non-coding RNA from Osmerus eperlanus (European smelt), 431 nucleotides. RefSeq lists it as uncharacterized. Lineage: Eukaryota; Metazoa; Chordata; Actinopteri; Osmeriformes; Osmeridae. The transcript is spliced from 3 exons. The record is from RefSeq and is a predicted model, not a curated record.
ACAGUGUUCAUCAUGUAUAAAAGCAGGUGCAACCAGGCCACAGUCAGACGUUUUCCUCAAUUCUCACUGGAUAGCAUCAACACCCCAAAGAGAAGCCAUGAAGCCAGUGAUCGUGCUGUACGUUGUGCUGAUGAUGAUUGCACUGGUGUGCAAUGUUUAUGCUGCAUGUGAGAAUGGAAGAUGUGCCAAGAGAUGUAGUAGUAAUGAAUAUAAAGACAGCAAUUCAUACUGUGGGGGUGGAAAUAUAUGCUGUGUUGAAAAAGGCUGGUGAAAAACAUCCGUAAAGGAAGAUGUGGAUCAAGCAACAUGCAUUAUUGUGUUUUUUCUUCUUUCAUUUAAAUUGAGUUGAAACAGUCAGACACUUACACAAGAUGCAUUCAUCAUGAUCUGCGUUUAUGCCAGUUUGAAUAAAAUCAAAUAUCACAACUAUA